Molecule: non-coding RNA, 73 nt
Organism: Xiphophorus maculatus (southern platyfish)
Lineage: Eukaryota; Metazoa; Chordata; Actinopteri; Cyprinodontiformes; Poeciliidae
Source: Ensembl
GCACUAGUAGCUCAGCUUUCAGAGCGUCGGUCUUGUAAGCCGAAGGACGAGGGUUAAACUCCCCCCUACUGCU